AGACCUGUAUCGGAAUCGAACCGAUAUCGACUGUACCACAAACAGUUGUUUUACCACUAAACUAACAGGUC
RNAcentral lists this transfer RNA (71 nucleotides) under Megavirus baoshan. RNAcentral's name for it is "tRNA-His". The record is from RNAcentral. Lineage: Varidnaviria; Bamfordvirae; Nucleocytoviricota; Megaviricetes; Imitervirales; Mimiviridae.